CCAACUGAAAGAGAAUCAGCAGCCAGAACGGAAACUAAGGAAACCCAGAUAAUGGAAUUGACUGAUGGAUUUGACUGAUAAUGGAAUUAUUGAUAUUUGAAGAUUUUGGCAUUCUAAGGACAAAGAGUUUUCAUUUUUCUCACAUGUUUAUCAUUCCUACUCGAGAAUUGAUUAUUUUUUUAUUGACUCUUGUUUUAUUCCAUCGGUAAUUGGUUGUAAUUAUGAUAUUAUAGCCAUCUCUGACCAUGCUCCAUUAAAACUUUCUAUUACAUUUACAGAUACAGCUUCUAGUGCUAGACAAUGGCAAUUUGAUUCUACCUUACUGCAAGAUCCGGAUUUUAUUAAAUUUAUGAAGGAACAGAUCGAUUUCUUCUUUUCAACUAAUUCCAUGGAUGAUAUUUCUUGCGGAACACUUUGGGACACUUUUAAAGCAUAUAUAUGUGGACAGAUUAUCUCCUACUCUACUGGUCUGAGAAAACGCAUUAAGAUGCACAGCAGAGGGCAUCCUAAUCGCUGGAUCACAGCAUCCGGCCUACGCACCUUCAAGUCACCUUCAUGAGUCAUCGUAUUCAUGGAACGUUUGUUCCACCCCCUCAUCAGGGAGUCAGAGAUUGGUUAAGAAAAAGGAAAUAUGACAGAGCUAAGACAACCAGGAUCGCCCUUCGUGGUUACAUUUGGAGGAAAAUUCGGUAGCGGGGUUUUCUUUAGCUUCUUUAUUAGGAGCUCCCCUUCCUUUUUCAUUCUCCAGUAUAGGUAAACAAAUUCUCAAUCCUAUCGUUAAAACGUACUUUAAAAGUCUGGUUUCAGUUUCGUAGAUUUUUUGAAUCAAAUAAUUUUCCACUCUCUAGUAAUUUAUUCUCUAGUAAUAUCUAUUCUAAUUUUUUUUAAACCAUCAACUCUGGAUAAGGCUUUUUUAACAUGGAAAACUAACGGAAUAAAAACGUUUUUAGAUUUGUUUUUACGGGAUUGUUUAAUGUCUUUUUCGUAGUUAAUGGAUAAAUAUGAUAUCUCUAAUACACAUUUUUAAGAUAUUUACAAAUUAGGAAUUUUUUACGUGAUUUUUUUUACCAAAAUACCCCUUGUUGGCUUAGCCAUUAAAUUUGGUUUAUGCUAUUUUUCAGCUCAAACCAUUUCAAAAACGAUUAAUAGCUAUUAUUUAUAAACCGUUAUUGAAUGCUCGCGUGUCGCUUAAUGAUAAGGUUAAAUGCACCUGGGAAACUGGCAUCUAGGUGUGGAUUUACAACCCAACUCACUCACGGCAAUUUUUGGGAUUAUUCUGGAGGAAGCAGGUAGAGUUUCUGCUUCUGCUCAACAUGUAACAACCUUUUCAACUUUACUGUCUAGGAGAACUAUCUUGUUAUACUGGGAAGAUUCUAAUCCACCCACUGUUUUCCUUAUCCGCGAAGGUUCGGAGGUGAAUGGAAGGAUGUUUUCUUCUUUUUUCUUCUAAUUUUAUCCUCAAAUGGACUGCCCAAUCUUUCUUUUUUUUUUGUUUUAGGUUAGUUUAGCGGUUUUUUUCCUUCUUACACAAUAAAAUUUCCAAUUUUUUUUACGAUUUGUCAAGAGAAGUUGUGGUUUCUUGUGUAUAUAAUAUAUACAACAGCGUAAUACCAUACUUAAUUGACUUUGACAAUAUAUACAUUUUUUUGCUGUUUCUACGUCUUUUGUAUUAUCUGUUUGUUAAAACUUCUCUGAUUUGUA
Long non-coding RNA from Hypanus sabinus (Atlantic stingray), 1701 nucleotides. RefSeq lists it as uncharacterized. The transcript has 3 exons. The record is from RefSeq and is a predicted model, not a curated record. Lineage: Eukaryota; Metazoa; Chordata; Chondrichthyes; Myliobatiformes; Dasyatidae.